This 1876-nucleotide long non-coding RNA is filed under the name Numida meleagris (helmeted guineafowl). RNAcentral describes it as "lncRNA (ENSNMEG00000017534.1)". Lineage: Eukaryota; Metazoa; Chordata; Aves; Galliformes; Numididae. The record is from RNAcentral.
UUCCCCUUUUCUCCCAGUGCUCUUUUCAGCUGAGAUGACCGACAGAGCUAUUGAAACCGGCAGCACUGUGAGCCUGUGUGAGGGGCAGGAUGCAGCACUGUAUCUCAGCUCCAGACCGCUGUCAAAAUUGGAAGGGUAACUGGACCCAAAAGGAAGUAGUGGGAUAUCAGUGUGUAGGCUUCUGCACAUCCCUCCAGGCUCCCUCCAGGCUCUCGCACCAUUUUCAGAAUGAGCUGUCACUCUGAGACAGCUUUUCUCAGCAAGUAGUAGGAGGCUAUGAGCCAUGUCUGGCUUUCAGGCACCCAGUGCAAGCAGCAGAUUCCAUGAUGUGUGUGUGUGUGUUGUGUGUGUGCGUGAUUGCUGCUGUCGGGAGGUAGGCUUUAUAUGUAAGCAAACAACAUGAGAGGAGAGCCUUAGGGAUGGCUCAGGUAUGUUAAAGCAGUGUAUGCACAGCAGCAGCAUCGUGAUUGCCCCUUGCACAACCAGGAAGCUACUGCACUAAGAAUGUCCUAAAGUUUGCUUUAUGUUUUGAAGAGCUGCAGCAGAACUGUGAUGGAGUUUCUCCUGCUUCUCAUUUCUCUGCAGAUAGUUUGCAGAAAAUUCUCCGUAGAACAGAACACAGACUUUAUGACCAGCAUUGUGAAGACCUUCCAGCAAGCCAAAGGAAUGUGUGUGUGUGCUGCUGAGAAGUGGAUGAUCAUCUUUCUGCAUCCUCAGUGCCAUCUCAAAAGUGGUGUCUGUGCAGUCCAGGUAGGUGAUGCUGAGCUUGCUUCUUCAACUCCUUCCAGGCCUCUUAGCACAGGUCAGCAAGGCACUGAGGGAGGAGGUGCUGCUUUUCCCCCUUGCAGAGAGCUCUCCUACAAGGACCAGGAGUAAGAAGACCAGCUGUGCAAGGUAAGGGCAGGUGCGCAGUCUGAGCUCACAAGUCCAGAAUGUUUGUUUGCUGGUCUGUGCUUUUCACUGCAACCUGCCAUCGAGUCCCUUACAAAGCUUUAAAAACAAGUCUGUCAAGUUAUGAUACAUAGAGCCUUCCCCUGCAGCUCCCUGAGCAUGUCCCAGCUGUAGGUCAGGGCUGGAAGCCAGGGCUGAGGAACAGUGCUCCAAUGUUUGCCUCUUUUCCCUGUACUUAAGAUGACAUCCUGGAAAAAGCAGUUGAAGCAGCAGUAAGUGAGGCUUCUCGUGGUUAGAUUAAGGUGAAACUGACACUCAAGUUCCAAACACAAUUAUCUCUGUACUACAAUUACCUUAAAAGCAUUGAUACUCUUACAAUUUUGUCUGUCUAAGCUGUGCUGCUAAACAAUGCAUCUUUACAAGAACUCUAAAUAAGUAAGUCUUUAAUUACAUAACAACUAAGAGAGAGAAAAGGAAAGAAAAGAGGAAGAUGGGGCUUGAACGCUUCAAGACCACGGUGAUGUGAAUAGAGCAGAUAAAGAGGAGAAAGAAUUAGAAGAGAGGUAGGAAAAGAGAAAGAGAGUAAGAGCGAAAAAGGAUGAGGAGAAAGGAAAGGUUAAAAAAAAGAGAUUGUAUUCUGGAAGUCAUAUCUCUUAUGACUAUACUAAUCACUGUAAAUAGGAAAAUACAUAAAAUCAUUAUUUCAGUAUUUACAAACCAUUUCCCCCCACCCUAUGAGUCUUAAAAAGCUUACUAAGGAAUCAGUCCAGGAUUCAGGAGAUAAGUCUGACAGUUGCAUUGCUGGAAACAACUUCUCAGUCUUUCUGUGAUUUCUCAUCUUAGUGCAGGCGUAUACAUCAUGGCUUAAACAUCACAUAAUUAACUUCAAUUGUGUUGAUUUGUACGUAAUACAUGGAAAAUGAAGAAGAAAAAGAACAAACAAGCACUCUUUCAGAGAAGAAAUUUUUCCCAGUGUUCAAAUUUA